AACGCGAAGAACCUUACCUGGGCUUGAACCGCACAGGACCAUCUUUGGAAACAGAGACUUCCCGCAAGGGACCUGUGUAGAGGUGCUGCAUGGCUGUCGUCAGCUCGUGCCGUGAGGUGUUGGGUUAAGUCCCGCAACGAGCGCAACCCUUACUCAUAGUUGCUACCUGCAAGGGAGAACUCUAUGAGGACUGCUCCGGAUAACGGAGAGGAAGGUGGGGAUGAGGUCAAGUCAGCAUGGCCUUUAUGUCCAGGGCUACACACGUGUUACAAUGCGCGCUACAGAGCGUUGCAAACCCGCGAGGGGGAGCUAAUCGCACAAAAGCGCGCUCAGUUCGGAUUGCAGUCUGCAACUCGACUGCAUGAAGCCGGAAUCGCUAGUAAUGGCGCAUCAGAACGGCGCCGUGAAUACGUUCCCGGGCCUUGUA
Molecule: ribosomal RNA, 427 nt
Filed under: uncultured Acidobacteriota bacterium
Lineage: Bacteria; Pseudomonadati; Acidobacteriota
Description: bacterial SSU rRNA
Rfam family: Bacterial small subunit ribosomal RNA
Source: RNAcentral